Molecule: non-coding RNA, 119 nt
Filed under: Syntrophothermus lipocalidus
Lineage: Bacteria; Bacillati; Bacillota; Clostridia; Eubacteriales; Syntrophomonadaceae
Also listed under: 1 other name
Description: MoCo sequence
Rfam family: Molybdenum/Tungsten riboswitch aptamer (Moco RNA motif)
Source: RNAcentral
UUAACAACUGUUCUCCGAGCUCUCGCGACCUAAGGCGGAAGCUAUGGUCCCUGAGCCGAUAGGGUAUGAGGGGAAACGCUCAUGCCUCCCGUUUGGAAAGGAGGGCUGCUUAUGCGGGU